AAUUUAAAAAUGGACCUAAAAGCACUAAUAGUCAUACAAAUGCCUAAGCAAAAAAGGAGUUACCUUAAGCAGAAUCUAUACUGUAUGGCCCAUGGGAAUG
Molecule: long non-coding RNA, 100 nt
Organism: Phyllostomus discolor (pale spear-nosed bat)
Lineage: Eukaryota; Metazoa; Chordata; Mammalia; Chiroptera; Phyllostomidae
Exons: 3
Source: RefSeq, a predicted model, not a curated record